ACGAGCCUAACUUAAAACCCAAAGGACUUGACGGUAUCCCACCCAACUAGAGGAGCCUGUUCUAUAAUCGAUGAUCCACGAUAUACCUAACCAUUUCUUGCUUUCAGCCUGUAUACCUCCGUCGUAAGCCUACUAUAUGAAUAUGUAUAAGUGAGCUAGAAGACCCCCCCCGCCAUAACGUCAGGUCAAGGUGCAGCUUACGAAAUGGAAGUAAUGGGCUACAAUUUCUAACCUAGAACAUACGAAAAGCUAUAUGAAACAUAGCCAUGAAGGAGGAUUUAGUAGUAAAUAAGAAAUAGAGAGCCUUAUUAAACCCGGCCCUGGGAUGUGUACACACC
Molecule: ribosomal RNA, 338 nt
Filed under: Raorchestes chromasynchysi (confusing green bush frog)
Lineage: Eukaryota; Metazoa; Chordata; Amphibia; Anura; Rhacophoridae
Description: partial 12S ribosomal RNA
Rfam family: Bacterial small subunit ribosomal RNA
Source: RNAcentral